This 68-nucleotide transfer RNA is filed under the name Cyclograpsus granulosus. RNAcentral's name for it is "tRNA-Pro". Lineage: Eukaryota; Metazoa; Arthropoda; Malacostraca; Decapoda; Varunidae. The record is from RNAcentral.
CAGAAAAUAGUUUUUAAAAAAAUAUUAAUUUUGGGAAUUAAAGAAAAAGAAUUUGUCUUUUUUUCUGA